This is a long non-coding RNA of Sceloporus undulatus (fence lizard), 221 nucleotides long. RefSeq lists it as uncharacterized. The transcript is spliced from 3 exons. NCBI's taxonomy places the organism in Eukaryota, Metazoa, Chordata, Lepidosauria, Squamata, Phrynosomatidae. The record is from RefSeq and is a predicted model, not a curated record.
GAGGGCUUUAAAAACAUUCUACUAGAAAUCAAGAGGAUGAAAAAGAUAUUAUAAGCUAGGAGAUUGGUUAGGACUCAGAAAGAACAACAGAUUGUUGAUCGCUUCCACUGAGCCCAAUGAUCCAAGGAUACACAAUGAUCCAAAAAUUCACAAAUCACGACAGCAGUGAAAUACCUGCAAGAACACUGGCCAACUCCCACAUCUUGGUGGCAGCUAAACUG